RNAcentral lists this ribosomal RNA (537 nucleotides) under Vellitor minutus. RNAcentral's name for it is "partial 16S ribosomal RNA". It matches the Rfam family "Bacterial large subunit ribosomal RNA", at positions 157 to 1040 of the family's 2925-position model. The record is from RNAcentral. Lineage: Eukaryota; Metazoa; Chordata; Actinopteri; Perciformes; Cottidae.
GCCCAAUAACUAGCCCCCCCAAACAACUUCAACCAACCCCUGUUAAUAACCCCUAAGUACCCCCGCAUUCAAAUUAAACAAACCAUUUUCCCCCCUUAGUAUAGGCGAUAGAAAAGGAGCCACGGCGCAAUAGAGAAAGUACCGCAAGGGACUGCUGAAAGAGAAAUGAAACAACCCAAUACAAGCCUGGAAAAGCAGAGACUAAGCCUCGUACCUUUUGCAUCAUGAUUUAGCAAGUGUACCCCAAGCAAAGAGUACUUUAGUUUGACGCCCCGAAACUACGUGAGCUACUCCAAGACAGCCUAGCAAUAGGGCCUACCCGUCUCUGUGGCAAAAGAGUGGGGAGAGCUUUGAGUAGAGGUGACAAGCCUACCGAACCUAGUUAUAGCUGGUUGUCCAAGAAAUGAAUAGAAGUUCAGCCCCUUGGCUUCUCUUUUCACCCUAGACUAACCCCUAUUGAUGCACCGAAGAAACCAAGGGAGUUAGUCAAAGGGGGUACAGCCCCUUUGAACCAAGACACAACUUUUACAGGUGGAU